UAUAGUCUAGCUCUCUUCUCAACCCCUCCAGCGGCCGCCGCCUCCGCUCAUUUAGCGGAGGCGGCGUCUGGUUCCCCCUGUGCUCUCAUCUUCCUUUUCCCCUCCAUCGGCAUCCUCCUUGCAGCAGCUCAAAUAAACCCACCUUCCUCCACAUCUUCCCCUUCAUCUAUCCAUUGUUUUGGUUUUGGUUUUGUGGUGCAGUGCAACUUUUCCAUCUCUGAUUGUGGUUGGGGAGGAGGAUGGCGUAUGAGUAAUGGCGCAUAUUCUAUUGCCGACCACUUGUUGAGAGUUGUCCGAGAGGUGCGGCCAUAUAAUCAAACCUGAUCCGGUAUGUAUCUCGGCCUUUCAUAAAUUAAGAUAUAUAUACGUCAUAUGUAUAUAAACAUUGUCCGUCUCUAUUGGAUCACUAAACUCUACUAUAGAGGAAAAUGAUUUUUCAAGUGGUUGUGGAUGAAUUAAUGGAAAAGGGAAUGAAAGAUGCCAAAAUUUGGCCAUCAUUCAUUCCCUUUUCCAUUAAUUCAUCGGCAACCACUUUGAAAAUCCUUACUCCUCUAUAAUAGAGUUUAGUGAUCUAAUAGAAAUGGACAAUGUUUAUAUACAUAUGAGUUGUAUCUUUAUUUUAAAUGAUGAAAGGUUGAGAUGCAUACCGGGGAGGUAAUCAAUACAUUACGGCAUACAAUCUAACUUUUUUUUUUUUACAAGUUCAUCGAGAGCGCAUUCUGCAUUGGUAUUUUGAUCAACAUCGUGUCAAUUUCAUAGACCCAAGCUAUGUUCCAAAUUAAAUAUAUUGGAUUGAAAUUCAAUUCUCAAUAUAUUUAAUAUGGAACAUUGCUCAGGUCUAUUAAAUUGACAGGAUGUUAGUCAAAAUACCAGUCACGGAAUGCGCUCUCGAUGGACGAGUAAAAAAAAAAAGUUAGAAAGUUAGAUUAUAUGUCCUAAUGUAUAUAUUACCUCCACCUGGCCCUUCGUCAGCUAGGACCAUAAGAUAUGAUUUUUUUUUUUUUUAAUACAGGACUUUAAUUAUUUUGUUCCCUUUGAAGUGCGACAAAAAUGUAUUCUAUUUUGUGCCAAUACUGUUGACUGAAAUUUAUGAAAAUUUUGUUAUUAAAUAUUUAA
Ipomoea nil (Japanese morning glory) is the source of this 1116-nucleotide long non-coding RNA. RefSeq lists it as uncharacterized. The transcript has 2 exons. Lineage: Eukaryota; Viridiplantae; Streptophyta; Magnoliopsida; Solanales; Convolvulaceae. The record is from RefSeq and is a predicted model, not a curated record.